AGAGUUUGAUCCUGGCUCAGAUUGAACGCUGGCGGCAGGCCUAACACAUGCAAGUCGAACGGUAACAGGAAACAGCUUGCUGUUUCGCUGACGAGUGGCGGACGGGUGAGUAAUGUCUGGGAAACUGCCUGAUGGAGGGGGAUAACUACUGGAAACGGUAGCUAAUACCGCAUAACGUCGCAAGACCAAAGAGGGGGACCCUCGGGCCUCUUGCCAUCGGAUGUGCCCAGAUGGGAUUAGCUUGUUGGUGGGGUAACGGCUCACCAAGGCGACGAUCCCUAGCUGGUCUGAGAGGAUGACCAGCCACACUGGAACUGAGACACGGUCCAGACUCCUACGGGGGGCAGCAGUGGGGAAUAUUGCACAAUGGGCGCAAGCCUGAUGCAGCCAUGCCGCGUGUAUGAAGAAGGCCUUCGGGUUGUAAAGUACUUUCAGCGGGGAGGAAGGGAGUAAAGCUAAUACCUUUGCUCAUUGACGUUACCCGCAGAAGAAGCACCGGCUAACUCCGUGCCAGCAGCCGCGGUAAUACGGAGGGUGCAAGCGUUAAUCGGAAUUACUGGGCGUAAAGCGCACGCAGGCGGUUUGUUAAGUCAGAUGUGAAAUCCCCGGGCUCAACCUGGGAACUGCAUCUGAUACUGGCAAGCUUGAGUCUCGUAGAGGGGGGUAGAAUUCCAGGUGUAGCGGUGAAAUGCGUAGAGAUCUGGAGGAAUACCGGUGGCGAAGGCGGCCCCCUGGACGAAGACUGACGCUCAGGUGCGAAAGCGUGGGGAGCAAACAGGAUUAGAUACCCUGGUAGUCCACGCCGUAAACGAUGUCGACUUGGAGGUUGUGCCCUUGAGGCGUGGCUUCCGGAGCUAACGCGUUAAGUCGACCGCCUGGGGAGUACGGCCGCAAGGUUAAAACUCAAAUGAAUUGACGGGGGCCCGCACAAGCGGUGGAGCAUGUGGUUUAAUUCGAUGCAACGCGAAGAACCUUACCUGGUCUUGACAUCCACGAAAGUUUUCAGAGAUGAGAAUGUGCCUUCGGGAACCGUGAGACAGGUGCUGCAUGGCUGUCGUCAGCUCGUGUUGUGAAAUGUUGGGUUAAGUCCCGCAACGAGCGCAACCC
This 1107-nucleotide ribosomal RNA is filed under the name uncultured bacterium. Its description in RNAcentral is "bacterial SSU rRNA". It matches the Rfam family "Bacterial small subunit ribosomal RNA", at positions 8 to 1104 of the family's 1533-position model. The record is from RNAcentral.